RNAcentral lists this ribosomal RNA (158 nucleotides) under Cytospora tibouchinae. RNAcentral describes it as "5.8S ribosomal RNA". It matches the Rfam family "5.8S ribosomal RNA". Rfam says of the family: 5.8S ribosomal RNA (5.8S rRNA) is a component of the large subunit of the eukaryotic ribosome. Lineage: Eukaryota; Fungi; Ascomycota; Sordariomycetes; Diaporthales; Cytosporaceae. The record is from RNAcentral.
AAAACUUUCAACAACGGAUCUCUUGGUUCUGGCAUCGAUGAAGAACGCAGCGAAAUGCGAUAAGUAAUGUGAAUUGCAGAAUUCAGUGAAUCAUCGAAUCUUUGAACGCACAUUGCGCCCUCUGGUAUUCCAGAGGGCAUGCCUGUUCGAGCGUCAUU